This is a long non-coding RNA of Salvia splendens (bonfire salvia), 594 nucleotides long. RefSeq lists it as uncharacterized. The record is from RefSeq and is a predicted model, not a curated record. NCBI's taxonomy places the organism in Eukaryota, Viridiplantae, Streptophyta, Magnoliopsida, Lamiales, Lamiaceae. The transcript is spliced from 2 exons.
UGGCUCAAUUGCUACGUCAAGAAUAGAGCUGUCAAACCGACCCAUGUUACUCGUGUGAUGUUGCAUUCUCUGCCUCUAUCUCUGUCUCAGGCAAGAGGAGGAGUGAACAAGCAAUCAAAUGAGCAAAUGAAGAAAGUUAAGGCUGGUGAGUUGAUGAUUGAACCAAGAAAUCAGCAUUUUGCUCACUCAAAACAGGAAAAAUCCUCAGUUUCUGCUAAACCUGUAGAUGAAGAUCUCUACAAGAUCCCUCCCGAGCUACUUCCAAAUUCUAAACGAAAAAAAAUGAUGGGGUUGUUCUUCAAAUGCAUGGUACCUCCUUGUGCAGAUUGACUCAAGCCCAAGUAAUUUUUAUUGAAUGGAGAAAUUUAGACUCAACUACAAAAAGGUCGUAUCGUCUCGUCUCUACAGUUUGCAUAGAAUGACUUGAGUAUGUAUGAAUAUCAAAAGAAUUUAUUACAAUCACAUUUCAUUCAUCAUUGAAUCUUGGUACCACAAAUUUAGCUAAGUAAAUUGUGCAAAGGCGGGGCCAAUGUAGGUAAAGAGGCCUUUCUAGGUUGAGUUACAAUUUAUGAGAAACUGGUCCACAAUUGUCAA